CCUACGGGAGGCAGCAGUGAGGAAUAUUGGUCAAUGGGCGAGAGCCUGAACCAGCCAAGUCGCGUGAAGGAUGAAGGAUCUAUGGUUUGUAAACUUCUUUUAUAUGGGAAUAAAGUGAGGAACGUGUUCCUUUUUGUAUGUACCAUAUGAAUAAGCAUCGGCUAACUCCGUGCCAGCAGCCGCGGUAAUACGGAGGAUGCGAGCGUUAUCCGGAUUUAUUGGGUUUAAAGGGUGCGUAGGUGGUUAAUUAAGUCAGCGGUGAAAGUUUGUGGCUCAACCAUAAAAUUGCCGUUGAAACUGGUUGACUUGAGUAUAUUUGAGGUAGGCGGAAUGCGUGGUGUAGCGGUGAAAUGCAUAGAUAUCACGCAGAACUCCGAUUGCGAAGGCAGCUUACUAAACUAUAACUGACACUGAAGCACGAAAGCGUGGGGAUCAAAC
This 438-nucleotide ribosomal RNA is filed under the name uncultured bacterium. Its description in RNAcentral is "bacterial SSU rRNA". It matches the Rfam family "Bacterial small subunit ribosomal RNA", at positions 338 to 773 of the family's 1533-position model. The record is from RNAcentral.